AUGAACGCUGGCGGCGUGCCUCAUCCAUGCAAGUCGCGCGAACGGACGAGAAGCUUGCUUUUCUGAUGUUAGCGGCGGACGGGUGAGUAACACGUGGAUAACCUACCUAUAAGACUGGGAUAACUUCGGGAAACCGGAGCUAAUACCGGAUAAUAUUUUGAACCGCAUGGUUCAAAAGUGAAAGACGGUCUUGCUGUCACUUAUAGAUGGAUCCGCGCUGCAUUAGCUAGUUGGUAAGGUAACGGCUUACCAAGGCAACGAUGCAUAGCCGACCUGAGAGGGUGAUCGGCCACACUGGAACUGAGACACGGUCCAGACUCCUACGGGAGGCAGCAGUAGGGAAUCUUCCGCAAUGGGCGAAAGCCUGACGGAGCAACGCCGCGUGAGUGAUGAAGGUCUUCGGAUCGUAAAACUCUGUUAUUAGGGAAGAACAUAUGUGUAAGUAACUGUGCACAUCUUGACGGUACCUAAUUAGAAAGCCACGGCUAACUACGUG
RNAcentral lists this ribosomal RNA (496 nucleotides) under uncultured bacterium. RNAcentral describes it as "partial 16S ribosomal RNA". It matches the Rfam family "Bacterial small subunit ribosomal RNA", at positions 29 to 507 of the family's 1533-position model. The record is from RNAcentral.